Molecule: transfer RNA, 73 nt
Filed under: Canis lupus familiaris (dog)
Lineage: Eukaryota; Metazoa; Chordata; Mammalia; Carnivora; Canidae
Also listed under: 1 other name
Rfam family: tRNA
About the family: Transfer RNA (tRNA) molecules are approximately 80 nucleotides in length. Their secondary structure includes four short double-helical elements and three loops (D, anti-codon, and T loops). Further hydrogen bonds mediate the characteristic L-shaped molecular structure. tRNAs have two regions of fundamental functional importance: the anti-codon, which is responsible for specific mRNA codon recognition, and the 3' end, to which the tRNAs corresponding amino acid is attached (by aminoacyl-tRNA synthetases). tRNAs cope with the degeneracy of the genetic code in two manners: having more than one tRNA (with a specific anti-codon) for a particular amino acid; and 'wobble' base-pairing, i.e. permitting non-standard base-pairing at the 3rd anti-codon position.
Source: Rfam by way of RNAcentral
GCCCGACUGGCUCAGUCAGUGGAGCAUGCAACUCUUGAUCUCAUGGUUGUGGGUUCGAGCCCCACAUUGGGUA